GAUCGGUGUCCGCCUCGGCGGAUAACCGAGGCAAACGGGUGCGUAACACAUUGGUAAUCUACCUCGAAUUUGGGCAUAACCCGGCGAAAGCUGGGAUAAUUCCCAAUAUGCAUACGGGAGCGAAUGCUCCAGUAUGGAAAGGCUUGUACGAUUCGAGAGGAACCUAUGGCUUAUCAGCUAGUUGGUGAGGUAAUGGCUCACCAAGGCUAUGACAAGUAGCGGGCGUGAGAGCGCGACCCGCCUCACUGGGACUGAGACACUGCCCAGACUCCUACGGGAGGCUGCAGUCGAGAAUAUUCCCCAAUGCGCGAAAGCGUGAGGGAGCGACGCCGCGUGACUGAAGAAGCCCUUCGGGGUGUAAAAGUCUUUUCCAGAGGAAAAAUCCGUGCUACUACUCUGGGAAUAAGGGGCUGCUAACUUCGUGCCAGCAGCAGCGGUAAUACGAAGGCCUCAAGCGUUAUCCGGAUUUAUUGGGCGUAAAGAGCUCUAAGGUGGCGUGUCGCGUUUCCGGUCAAAUGUGGUGGCUCAACCUCCACACUGCCGGGAAAACGGGCAUGCUUGAAGGCGGAAGGGGCAGAUAGAAUUGGCGGUGUAACAGUAAAAUGUAUUGAUAUCGCCAAGAAUACUCAAAGCGAAGGCAUUCUGCUAGGACGACCUUGACACUGCAUGAGCGAAAGCGUGGGUAGCGAAUGGGAUUAGAUACCCCAGUAGUCCACGCCCUAAACGAUGAAUACUAGCUAUGGGAGAUUUCGACGUCUCCCGUGGCGUAGCUAACGCGUUAAGUAUUCCGCCUGGGAAGUACGGCCGCAAGGCUAAAACUUAAAGGAAUAGACGGGGACCCGCACAAGCGGUGGAGCAUGUGGUUCAAUUCGACGAUAAGCGAGGAACCUUACCAGGGUUUGCAUCCCGCGAAUCUCUAUGAAAGUAGAGAGUGCCGCAAGGAGCGCGGAGACAGGUGUUGCAUGGCUGUCGUCAGUUCGUGUCGUGAGACGUUGGGUUAAGUCCUCUGACGAACGCAACCCUCAUCGUAUGUUACUUUUCAUACGAAACUGCCUGGGUUUAACCAGGAGGAAGGCGAGGAUGACGUCAAGUCAGCAUGAUCUUUACAUCCUGGGCGACACACGUGCUACAAUGGGGCGGUACAAUGGGUAGCCAAACCGCGAGGUGGAGCCAAUCCCACCAAAACGCCCCCCAGUUCGGAUUGGAGUCUGCAACUCGACUCCAUGAAGCCGGAAUCGCUAGUAAACGCAUAUCAGCCAUGGUGCGUUGAAUACGUUCUCGGGUCUUGUACUCACCGCCCGUCAAGCCAAGAGAGUCGGAAAUACCCGAAGGUCCCACGUUUGUGGGGGCGACGGUAGAAUCGAUGAUAUGGGCU
Molecule: ribosomal RNA, 1375 nt
Filed under: uncultured Planctomycetota bacterium
Lineage: Bacteria; Pseudomonadati; Planctomycetota
Description: bacterial SSU rRNA
Rfam family: Bacterial small subunit ribosomal RNA
Source: RNAcentral